This 67-nucleotide transfer RNA is filed under the name Marmota monax (woodchuck). Its description in RNAcentral is "tRNA.Ala". Lineage: Eukaryota; Metazoa; Chordata; Mammalia; Rodentia; Sciuridae. The record is from RNAcentral.
GGUUAUGGCUCAGUGGUAGAGUUUAUGCCUAGCACAUGUGAGAUACUAGGUUUGAUCCCUAGCACCA